This is a non-coding RNA of Sus scrofa (pig), 2161 nucleotides long. NCBI's taxonomy places the organism in Eukaryota, Metazoa, Chordata, Mammalia, Artiodactyla, Suidae. The record is from RefSeq and is a predicted model, not a curated record.
UGCUUAUUCGCAAAGGACCGUCCCAGUCGAGUGCCUGUUGGUAGGAACCUAGUUGGCGUCGGGUCUGAGGGGGCGCGGAGGUGGAGGUGGCGGUGACUGAAGCAGGCGUCAGGGAGAGUCCACGGGAGAGAAGAAGCCAUGGACGAUCAGGGCUGCCCCAGGUGUAAGACCACCAAAUACCGGAACCCUUCGUUGAAGCUGAUGGUGAAUGUGUGCGGACACACUUUGUGUGAAAGUUGUGUGGAUUUGCUUUUUGUGAGAGGAGCUGGAAACUGUCCUGAGUGUGGCACUCCACUUAGAAAGAGCAACUUCAGGGUACAACUCUUUGAAGAUCCUACUGUCGACAAGGAAGUUGAGAUUCGGAAAAAAGUGCUAAAGAUAUACAAUAAAAGAGAAGAAGACUUUCCUAGUCUAAGAGAAUAUAAUGAUUUCCUGGAAGAAGUUGAAGAAAUUGUUUUCAACUUGACCAACAAUGUGGAUUUGGACAACACCAAGAAGAAAAUGGAGAUAUACCAAAAGGAAAACAAAGAUGUUAUUCAGAAAAAUAAGUUAAAGCUGACUCGGGAACAGGAGGAAUUGGAAGAAGCAUUAGAGGUAGAACGACAGGAAAACGAACAAAGAAGACUAUUUAUACAAAAAGAAGAACAACGGCAGCAGAUUCUAAAAAGGAAGAAUAAGCAGGCUUUUUUAGAUGAAUUGGAGAGUUCUGAUCUUCCUGUUGCUCUGCUUUUGGCUCAGCAUAAAGAUAGAUCUACGCAAUUGGAAAUGCAGCUUGAGAAACCUAAACCUAUAAAACCAGUGACAUUUUCCACAGGCAUCAAAAUGGAAUUAUUCAGUUAUAAAAGUCUGUUGCAUGUAUUCUGGAUACAAAUUCUCCGUAAAGCAGGGUCAGCAUAUUUCAUUAGCACCCAUUCACAAGCUUGAAGAAGCUCUCUAUGAAUACCAACCACUGCAAAUAGAGACAUGUGGACCACAAGUUCCUGAGCUUGAGAUGCUAGGAAGGCUUGGCAUUUUAUUGCCUAAAUGUCAACCCUCUUUCUUCUGGUUUGGAAGAAGCCAGUAUCACCACUCUUUAACAACAAACAUCCAGCAAGUGGAAAACUAGAUAGUUGGUUGUGCUGGUACAGAGUCAAAAUAUAUUUAAGCUCUGUGUCUAAUAAUAUUUAGUUACUUUAACAUUAUAAGAAUGCCAGUAGUAGUUAUUAUUCUGGUUUGAAGGUUAUGUUGCCAUGUUUUUUUGUUUCUCAGUUUAACUGGUUUUAAAUGUAAAGACAUAAAUCCUAAAGAUUGGGAGUGGAAAAACGGGGAUGGUUUUCAUUUGCUACAAUUUCCUGUGCGACAUGGCUCUAAACAAGGCCCAUAUUUACACAAGACAAUAUAGCUUUACAUACAGUGGUUUAUUCACAUUUUGAAAUUCUUUAACCAGUCGUCUGUAUUUAAUACUUUCAUAGUAAAUGUGUUUAAUAAUGCUAGGUGAAAUUUGAAAUAAUUUUAAAAUAAUUUUACAGUAGAAACACCAGUUAAAUCAACCUUUUGGUAAUAAAUGUCAGAAAAAAAUUAAUUAUUUUUGCUGCCACUGCAAAGUCAAUUGUGUAACUGUUCUUUUUAAACUGACUAUUACAUUACUAAAUUCUGAACGCUGCACUCCUGUAACUUGUCAGAGGCAGGUUUUAGUUAAUAGAUAUUUUCAGUGAUGUAAUGGGAACUUUUGGCAGUGAGUCAGAAUAUAAUGGACUGUGAUUAAUGUUUUAAUAAGUACUUUUCUAUUGCUCAUGAUGUAGAGGAGAAAUGGUUUCCUGUUAGGAUUGAUAGGAGAAUAGCAGGUGUGCAUAUAGAGUUGAAAUAUUUUUCUUAGAAUAACAUUAAUGUUUUCGUAUGACUAAAAUUCAUUAUCAUAGGAGAUGUAUAUGUUACCACAGAAAUCUGCAGUUGAUUUGGAAAAAAACAAUUGAGAUGAUUACUGAUUGACUAAUUAAAUCUUUUGAUUUUCAGCUUUUGUUUUCUUAUGAAGCUAUAUAACCUGAAGUCUUUGUUUGGUAUUCAUUCUUACUGUAAGCUAAACAAGGAAUUUGCUUAAUUGUGGAAUAUAUGAGUUUUAUGCUCCAUUGUUUCUAAAACUUGCACAUUGUUCAAAAAUUUUUUAAAUAAAAAAAAACUUAUC